Molecule: unclassified non-coding RNA, 310 nt
Filed under: plant metagenome
Description: partial contains 5.8S ribosomal RNA, internal transcribed spacer 2, and large subunit ribosomal RNA
Rfam family: 5.8S ribosomal RNA (bases 1-105)
Source: RNAcentral
GAAAUGCGAUAAGUAAUGUGAAUUGCAGAAUUCAGUGAAUCAUCGAAUCUUUGAACGCACAUUGCGCCCGCCAGUAUUCUGGCGGGCAUGCCAGUUCGAGCGUCAUUUCAACCAUCAAGCCCCCGGGCUUGUGUUGGGGACCUGCGGCUGCCGCAGGCCCCGAAAACCAGUGGCGGGCUCGCUGUCACACCGGGCGUAGUAGAUUUUUCGUCUCGCCCAGGGCGUGCUGCGGGUUCCGGCCGUUAAAAAGCCUCUCUUUUUAACCCAAGGUUGACCUCGGAUCAGGUAGGAAGACCCGCUGAACUUAAGC